GAUGUGACUGGUGCUCAGGGAGUCAGGUGGAACCUGUUGACUGGAAGAACAAGCUUGUCUGGCCCAAGACCUGACACCUGCAGAGCAGGGAGAAGAGCCAGCAGCCAGGCCAGCAGCCAUGCAGAGGGGACUGGGGGCUCUGCUGGGGCUUCUGUGGGUGCAACUUUGCUGUGAGUCCGGUUCCUCCCAGAUGGGGCUGGGAGUGUUGUAGGGCUGACAGUGUGAGGGAGGGCAGGGAGAGCUGGCACCAAGCCCCCUCCCUGUCCUCCAUCCUCAGGGUGUUCCCUGGGGUAUUCUGCAGGUUUAUGAACUGGUCAUGGAUUCUGCAGUGACACCAGCUGAGUUUGCUUUUCUCUUUCCAAGCAGGGGUGAGAGGGCAGCAGGUGGAGCAGAGUCCUUCAGCCCUGAGGCUCCAGGAGGGAGCCAGCCCUACUCUGAGGUGCAAUUUUUCCACCACCAUGAGAAGUGUGCAGUGGUUACGACAGAAUCCUGGGGGCAGCCUCAUCAGUCUGUUUUUACUGACUCCAGGGACAAAGCAGGAGGGAAGGUUAAAGGCAACAAUGAAUUUUCAGGAGCGCUACAGCACCCUGAACAUCUCCACCUCCCAGAUGGAAGACUCAGGCACCUACUUCU
RNAcentral lists this long non-coding RNA (633 nucleotides) under Marmota monax (woodchuck). Lineage: Eukaryota; Metazoa; Chordata; Mammalia; Rodentia; Sciuridae. The record is from RNAcentral.